This 497-nucleotide ribosomal RNA is filed under the name uncultured bacterium. RNAcentral describes it as "partial 16S ribosomal RNA". It matches the Rfam family "Bacterial small subunit ribosomal RNA", at positions 28 to 507 of the family's 1533-position model. The record is from RNAcentral.
GAUGAACGCUGGCGGCGUGCCUAAUACAUGCAAGUCGAGCGAACAGACGAGGAGCUUGCUCCUCUGACGUUAGCGGCGGACGGGUGAGUAACACGUGGAUAACCUACCUAUAAGACUGGGAUAACUUCGGGAAACCGGAGCUAAUACCGGAUAAUAUAUUGAACCGCAUGGUUCAAUAGUGAAAGACGGUGUUGCUGUCACUUAUAGCUGGAUCCGCGCCGCAUUAGCUAGUUGGUAAGGUAACGGCUUACCAAGGCAACGAUGCGUAGCCGACCUGAGAGAGUGAUCGGCCACACUGGAGCUGAGACACGGUCCAGACUACUACGGGAGGCAGCAGUAGGGAAUCGUCCGCAAAGGGCGAAAGCUUGACGGAGCAACGCCGCGUGAGUGAUGAAGGUCUUCGGAUCGUAAAACUCUGUUAUUAGGGAAGAACAAAUGUGUAAGUAACUAUGCACGUCUUGACGGUACCUAAUCAGAAAGCCACGGCUAACUACGUG